UAACAUCCUCUCUGAGCCUCUCAGGUUCCACAUCUAUACAACAACUGGGUGAUCUAGAAGACUCUUAUCCGCUCAGAUUUCUAAUUACAUGAUGUGGCUUCGAGAAACAAGAAAGACAGCACGGAAAGGCCGACAGACUAAUGAAAACAACAACAGAGAAGGAAGAGGCAGGAGGAAACUUCCAGAAGUGAUGCCAACGUUCAGUACCUUGAUGGCGCGAACGGUUUCACAGGUGUGUACACGUGUCCAAACGCAUCCAACUGCAUACAUUGAAAAUGUGCUGUUUCUUGGUAUAUCAAUUAUUUCAAUCCAACUGCUAAUCACUAAAAUAAAAACUGCCCUUGGCGGGGUCCUGCGUGGCACAGCUGGUUCAGUGUCCAGCUCUUGAUUUCAGCUCAGAUCAUGAUCUCAGGGUCAUGAGAUUGAGCUCUGUAUCGGGCUCCAUUCUUAGAGUGUAGCCUGCUUAAAAUCCUCUCCCUUGCCUUCUGCCCUUCCCUUGGCUUGUGCACUCACUCUUUCCCUUAAAAAAAAAAGAAAG
This 538-nucleotide long non-coding RNA is filed under the name Mustela putorius furo (domestic ferret). Its description in RNAcentral is "lncRNA (ENSMPUG00000023956.1)". The record is from RNAcentral. Lineage: Eukaryota; Metazoa; Chordata; Mammalia; Carnivora; Mustelidae.